Molecule: non-coding RNA, 215 nt
Organism: Pelobates cultripes (western spadefoot toad)
Lineage: Eukaryota; Metazoa; Chordata; Amphibia; Anura; Pelobatidae
Source: the annotation of a GenBank genome assembly
CCUAGUCGCGUCCCUGUGAUGUUUAGAGUGCAAUAGUGUGGCUAGCUCCCGUCUCAGUUGUAGGAGUCGAGUUUGGUGCGUGUGGUUCGGGGUUUGUUUGUUUUGGUUGUCUGUCUCGUGUAUGUUGGUCAGCAGUUCCUGUAGCCGAGCUUCAGCUUGUUUCUUUAGUAUUGCCCCCUGUUGUAUGUAGUGGCCUCUUAUCACGCUUUUGUGUG